UUGUCUUCUAGACAAUAUCCACUCUCAGAAUAAGUCCUCAUUACAUUUAUUAUCACACUAUUUAACAGAAUAGUGAGGACUACUAAUACUAUCAUCUGGACCAUCACUCCAUUCCACGACUAGUCCCGGCUACGUUCUCAUUUCCUGAAGAGAACAGUGAAAGAAAGGGUGAGCUCAACUAGCCCAGUAAGAAAUAUUAUGACUAAGAUAAUGCAGAAUAAAUUAUCAUUAGUCUUCAACA
Molecule: long non-coding RNA, 241 nt
Filed under: Panax ginseng (ginseng)
Lineage: Eukaryota; Viridiplantae; Streptophyta; Magnoliopsida; Apiales; Araliaceae
Description: long non-coding RNA (PGIN_LNC000523)
Source: RNAcentral